Non-coding RNA from Phalacrocorax carbo (great cormorant), 700 nucleotides. The record is from RefSeq and is a predicted model, not a curated record. NCBI's taxonomy places the organism in Eukaryota, Metazoa, Chordata, Aves, Suliformes, Phalacrocoracidae.
UUGGCCAUUGACAGGGAUGCUGCUGAUUGAGGCUGUAGGCUGGGCAGUGCUUGUGGAGAUGUAGCUCCAUAAAAACAUAGGACCAAAGGCUGUGUUACCUUGCAGUGCCUUCCCUGUGGCUGUGGAAAGCUCAGGAGGAUCCACUAAUGUUCUCCUUAGUGUGCCCUUAUGGGUGUGAAAAACAGCUUGAGAGUGGGAGAGUGAGGAUGAUGGCUGUGACACACGCUGCUGGUGUAUAAGGGAAUUUUGUAAUAUAGCCCCCAGAUGCCCCAGGUAUCUGGCCUGCUUAGUACUGUGGAGGAGGGCAACUCCUUGCUCCAUCCCACAGUGCUUGCCAGCCUGGUGGAGAGGAAGAAUUUCCUUCUAAUCCCAAAUCUGGCAACAGUGGAACUCCUGGGUGUUCACAGGACACAUGAACCAGUGAGAUUUCACUUGUGCCCUGUACAGUGAGUAGCAGCACCUUCCUGACUGUACCAGACCUUGCCCAACUUCCAUGGGGAUUGCAUCAGCCUUUCUUGCACUCAGCUGAUUGGGGAUUGACUGAUGUGAUCUCUUCUCUUUCCUCCUCCAUUGCCCCAGUUUAUUUUGGAAGCUUGCUGAAGCCAUGUUGAAACAUACCCGCUUAAUUAAAAUUGUUCUUGUACUCAAAAUCUCAUUGAAGACUUUGCAUUUGGGGAUUCAUAAAUGGGAGUUGAAUGUC